Bos taurus (domestic cattle) is the source of this 2736-nucleotide long non-coding RNA. The record is from Ensembl. NCBI's taxonomy places the organism in Eukaryota, Metazoa, Chordata, Mammalia, Artiodactyla, Bovidae.
CUUCUCUUUCACUCUUGUCUAGAAACCUUGGACCACUGGACAAAACCCCAAGAGAGAUUGUCGGAAGAUGCUCUAACCAAUCCUGAGGAAAUCUGGUACACUGAUGGAAGCAGCUUUGUCUUAGAUGGAAAAAGAAGAGCCGGGAAUGCAGUAGUCUCCAAUGUUGAGACCACAGAGGCUAAGCCUCUGCCACCAGGUCAACAAGCUACAACAUGCAGUGCCAGUUCAACAAAGAUAUAAAACUACAGCCGACCACAGAAAAUAUCACUCACCCUUAAGUGGACACCGCUAUAAGGACUCUGAGGCUUGCAACUAGCAAGAGAGGGAGGCCCAAUACCCCUCGCCAUCCCAGUUCAGCAGGAAGUAGCCAAAAAGACCUCGAUGCCCCUAUUCCCAAAGAACUGGGCCUCCCAUCUCUUGAGGGGGGAAUGUUAGGUAGUUAGAAUAGGGAAAAGAAGUCCAAAAUGGCGGUGGCUAAAAGACAAGGAAGAGGAAAGCCCACAAAAAUUGAACAGAGGAAGGUCAAAGGGAGGUCCGAGGACCACAGUGAGGACUUCAGGUAGAACAGCACUCCUGACUAAGCCCAAUUUGCAUAGGGCAGGCCCAGGGGGAAGAAAAAAAAACAUAAAAAGAGGAGCCAAAGUGCUUUCUCUCUCUUUCUCUCCCUUCCCCGAGCACUGGCGUGCUCCUCCACUCUCUUCUCUUCGCAUCCUUGGGUUGGCAUGCCCUCAUGCUUGGAGGAUGGAUUCUCCUGCUAUCUUCUAACUAAAAUAGAGCUGUAACACUGAUUUGUCUAAGAGCUAUAACAUGGUUUGUCCAAGACCCAAGAGCUGUGACGCACCGAGGGCUUUAAUGUCCGUCGCUCCAAAUCUUUGUUGUGAUAAGCCAGAACCUAGGAGCAUACACUCGCCUGACAAUAAGAUAAUAACAACAGCAGUUGAACACUUACUAUGUUCUAGCAUGCGUGCAUGUUCAGUCGAUUCAGUCAUGUCUUUGUGACCCCAUAGACUGUAGCCCGCCAGGCUCCUCUGUCCACAGGAUUCUCCAGGCAAGGAUACUGGAGUGGGUUGCCACACCCUCCUCCAGGGGCUCUUCCUGACCCAGGGAUCAAACCUGUGUCUUCUGCAUUGCAGGCAGUUUCUUAAUGGCUGAGCCACUGGGGAAGCCCACUAUAUUCUAGGCAUUCCUAAGUACUUUCAUGUGUCAUAUCCCAUUUAAUCCCAUUUUUAUUCUAUUUCCGGAUUCUACAUUUGAAGAAACUGUUCCCAGUCUUGCAUUUGGAAGCUUGGACAUUGACUGGGGUUGGAGGUAUAUCUCCUUUACUCUGUGUCUUCGCUGAGGUGGUCCCAUAGGGAUACAGCUGGGAGCAGAGGUGAGAGCUGGAAAGACACAGAUGAGACAAAAAGGGUGUCUCCAUCAGUGCCGGAAUGCAUCCUGGGACAGCACCGGGCCAUCUCCAAGGGCUUUCAGGCAGCGUGUGUCCACCGUGUGGGGGUCCGGAGAAGAAGCAUUUGCUGGACCUGAGUCCCAGAAGAGGCCUGGGCCAUUGCACCGCACCCCUGCCCCCGCAGGAGCAGAGAGCGGACUGGAGCAUGCCGACUGCCUCCAGCAGAGAGUGUCCUCAGCCCUUAUUCCCAUUCACUUGAAACAUGAGCUAUGUGUGUUCUUAAGAGAUGUAAGCAGAAAUUAAGCCAAACGAUGCUUCCUUUUUGGCCUGUGUCUCUUCUCAAAUAAUCCCAAACCUUUAAGAAAAGCAGUAUGGUUAAAAUCACUAAAACUCAACAAAAGAAAAUCCUGAGCUUGGUUUUCGACCUUUGGAGUUGGAAGUGCCUUUAAACACCUAAGGAUGGGGAUCUGAGCCUUUCGCUGAGCCCAAGGAGAUGAGGAGAUGGGAGUCCUCUCCCCUGAAGAUCCAGGAUGAAUGCCAUCCCCAGGGAAGAGGAAAAGGUGGGAACCAGAGGGUCUGAUUGGUUGCCACUCUCUCCCCCUCCUCAUCCUGCCUCUGGCCAGCACUGUCCGGGGUCACCACACCUGUCCUGGUCCUUGGAUCUGCUGCCUCACCUCCUCCUUCUCUCCCUCCACAGACCCCUGAGGGAGGGUUCUCCCUGCAGGUCUCACACUCUCUAGAUGCCACCUGAGAAUUCUGAGUCACAAGCCACCAUCUAAUGAAAUCAGGUCGGCAGGUGGCUUGCAGGGGAUUGGCAGCCUAGCUGUUGCUCUGCAGCCCCAUCUCCCCCAGACCUGCUUUUGGGGGCCAGGAGGAAGGAGGAGCCAUCUCUGCAAAGUGGAUCCUGGCGACAGACCGUUCAACAGGACCCAGAAGACAGGGCAUGUCCAGGUCUAAGACCACCCACCGCUGGAUGCAGAGAAGCAGGAACUUGUAGGCUUGCACAGGAAACAGCAAAAGGCUAAAUUCAGCAAAAUUCCCUGAAAUGCAGGGAAUUUGUAACCCACUCAGAAGGUACUAUAGCACGUUAAUUAAGAGCGUGGAUUUUAGUCAGCCAGACCUGGAUGUGACUCCCACGCAAAUCUACAACGGACUAACUUGAAGACCUUGGACAAAAAAAAAAUCUCUGAACCUCAGUGAUCUCAUCUGGGGGAGUAUAUUGAAAUACAGAUUUAAGAAUUACCAGUUGGGGGAAAUAGUAUUUAAGGUCGGAAGUUGUGUUUGGAAGAUUGUAUAUGAGUAUUUUUAUAUUUAAAAAGUUUAAAGGCAAAAAAAAAGAUAAAAUCAAU